GUUUGUGUCCCUGUGAGAACAUUUGAUACAAUUAGAACGAUACAAAGAAAAUUAGCAUGGUCACUGCACAAGGAUAAUUAUUUUGUUUGUAACAGAAUAUGGAGAAUA
RNAcentral lists this small nuclear RNA (108 nucleotides) under Ipomoea nil (Japanese morning glory). Lineage: Eukaryota; Viridiplantae; Streptophyta; Magnoliopsida; Solanales; Convolvulaceae. The record is from RNAcentral.